Long non-coding RNA from Antechinus flavipes (yellow-footed antechinus), 6728 nucleotides. RefSeq lists it as uncharacterized. NCBI's taxonomy places the organism in Eukaryota, Metazoa, Chordata, Mammalia, Dasyuromorphia, Dasyuridae. The transcript has 2 exons. The record is from RefSeq and is a predicted model, not a curated record.
UGAUGCAACAAAUAAUAUAUUCUCAAUAAAUCCUUUUUGUUACAACACAAUUUUAGCAAAUGAGGGUUUUUUAAAAAUCUAAAGAGGCUUAAGCAUCAAUCAAAAGUAAAUAUGACACAAAAUAUACUAAAUUUUACCCUAAUUAUAUAAUUUAGGUAGGAAAAAAUCUCAGAAUCUUUUGUUCUUAUAGAAAGAGACUACAAACAAAAAUUAAGUUACACUUAAACAUGAUUGUUUUAAUGAGAACUUCAGUUUUAGUAUGUCCAAAUUCUAUGUUUCCAUCAGAGAAAGAUUUCUACAUAUAAACUAAUAGAAUGAUUCUUCUCUACUCUUUCUCCUGACUUCAAGUUGCAGCUGAAUUUAGUCCCACAUUCCACAAAAAAGCUUUCCUAGUCCUCUUACAGUUUUCCUCCUGAAAUUAGCUCUAACUUACCCUGUUUAUAUCCUGUUUGUAUUUAGACUAGAAAUUAUUUGAAAGUAGAGACUGUCCAAAAUUCCUUCCUUUAAAAAAUAUCUUGUUUUGACAUCCUAACAAAGUCAAUUGUAAUUUGUCAAGUAUUCUUAGCUUUUUAAACUAAAAUAUUAAAUAUUCUAAGUAAUAAAUAAAAGAUCAUGUAAGUGACAAUUCUUUAAACAAUACACUUUUACAGUCUUCAGUUCACUCCUAGAUUUCUUCCCGUCUUGUAGAAAACAAGAAAAUCACAAAAUCUGAAUUGGAAGAGACCUUAGGCAAUUUUGGAGCUAGUACAUGUGCACACAUACACUCCCCCCACCCCUCCACAUAUCCCUACCUCCAUCUGGUCACAUAAUCAGUCUCUGCUUUAAUAUUUUUAAUGCAAAAAAACCUCACCACUUCAUGAAGUAAACUGUUCUGUUGUUGGAAUAACAACUCUAAUUAAAUAAUUCUGCUGUACUUAUGUUUUAAUACAUCAGAGAAAAAUGAUCUCAAUCACAGUGACAUUCUUUCCACCACAAUUUGCAAGCUUCAUACAGUUUCAAAGACAGUUCAAAGCAGAGUUGUGAAGGCAAACUUUCCUUAUCAAAUCAAAAAUUGCUUCCCUGUGACUUUAGACCACAGAAUGUCAAAGUUACAGGGCACCUCAAAUCAUUUAAUGCAAUCCAUAUCUGAAUAGGAAUCUCUUCUACAACAGACCAAAUGAUCACCCAAUAGCUAAUUAAUUAGAAUUCUGUAGUGAUUAACGUCACCCAACAGGAUAUCUUCUUUUUGGGAACUGGGCUAGGAAGUUUUUCACUAUAAUAAGGAAAACUGCCUUUCUAUACAUUCUACCUGGUGCUUCUCGUUCUGUAAUCUGGGAUCAAGCAAGACAGAGAUUAAUACCUCUUCAAUGUGUUAGCCCUUCUAACACUGAAAGGCUGCUAACGUGUUCUUCAUACUAAUAAUUAUUUUCUCCAGGAUAAAUAUGCUCAGUUUCUUUAAAUGAUUACUGAACAGAAUGAUUUUCAAGGCCCCCACCAUGUCAGCCAAUCUCUAAAUAGAAACAACCUUGUCAAUGUCAUUCUUAAAAUGUGUUACUCAAGAAUGAAAUAUAAUUGCCUAGAUGGUUCAACUGGGAAACUUUUUAUCAAUGCACAUCAGGACCUUCUGUAAUAGUCUUGAAUAGUAAGCCAACAAUCCUGAGAGGUUAGGUCAAAGUCACACAGUAAAUGUUAGUGUAUGUCAGAGGCAGAACUUGAAUCCAGAUUUUUCUGGUCAAUUCUCUAUCUAUUCAAUACUCUAUACUAUGCUGACUCUCAUCAAAAGACCUGAGGUCAAAUCCAUCCUCAGAUAUGUAAAUGCUGUGUGAUUCUAGCCAGUUAAGUGGCAAAAAAGAUAGGGAAGCUGGGGAAGCAAAUGGCAAACCACUCUAGUGGUUUUUGUAUUUUUGCUUGCUUUCUCCCCUCCCCCCCCCCUUUCUUUUUCUGAGGCAAUUGGGAUUAAGUGACUUGUCGAGGAUUACAGAGUUGGGAAGAAUAAGUGUCUGAAGUCACAUUUGAACUCAGGUCCUCCUGACUUCAGGACUGGUACUCUAUCCACUGCUUCACCUAGCUGGCCCCACACUCUAGUAUCUUUGCCAAGAAAAUCUCAAAUAGAGAGUUGGACAUGACUGUACUGACUGAAGAAUAAAGAUAGAGAUAAUAACAUCUACCUGAUUGUUAAAGGGUAGGUGUGACAGCAAAUAAGAUAUUUGUAAACUGCUUAACACAUUGUCUUGGCAUAUUGUAGGCAUUAUAUAAAUGCUUAUUUCCUUCUACUUGGCACACAUUAGGCACUAAAUAAAUGCUUGCUAUUUGACUGAUCACUGCAGCAACAUAGAACAAGUCAAUUUUCCCUUCUAUGUGGUAGUCCUUAUCUAACUGAAGACAGCUUUCCACUAUCCCUUUUCUUCUUCUUUUUUUUCCCUCAGUAUCUAUAUAUAGAGAGGAGAAAAAAAGAUCAUUUAUAUUAGAUUUAACAAUCUCAGUGUGGGUAAAUUUAUGUUAGUUAUCUAAAUGAUAGAAAAAUCCUAAUGAAGAGCAUAGAAAGGUAUAUUUACUGUCAGGAAAGUCACCAAAACAUAUUAGAAGACAGUUCCUUUAAAAUCUUUGAGAAAGUCCAUUUGAUUAAAAAUUCUUCCAACCAAAUCUUCUCCAUCAUUUUAGUAGCAGAAUUUUUCAAUUCCUAAAACUUAACUCAAAAAUAGCUCUAUCAUUUUUAACUUAUCUUUUCUUAAUUAAAAUAGAAAACAAAACUCCAUUCUCCUGAAGCUAUGUAAACUCCAGUCUUCCUGACUCCAGGCUCAAUUAUAAGAGAAAAUUGCUGCCGGAUUUUCUAUUUACCUGCUUUUCUUCUAAUUUCAACCACAUUGAUUUUUUCUGUGCAAAAAUAUUUUUAUGCCUUAUUCAGUUUCUAAUGAAGUUAGAUCAAGUGCUCUAUUUUCUGUUCUAUUAAUCUGGACACUUACUAUUUCUUAAUACUAUUCACCCAUUUCAUUUAGUUUGUCAGCUUUUUGGCAUAUAGCUGGGUAAAGUAGUUUCUGACAGUUAUUUUACUUCUCCAUUACUGGUAAUGAAUUUAUCAUUUUUAUUUUUUAUAUUGGUAGGUUGGUUUUCUUUUUUAAAAUCAAGAUUGUCUUUAUGAUUUUGUUCUGAGAUUCACUGUUCUUUGGGAUUCGUUUAGUCUUAAAAUAAUUUUUAAUGUUUUUCUAAAGUAAACAAUAUAAUUUUUAUUGCAUUACAGAUUGUAAAAACUUUUUUUUGGUUAAAAAAAAUCUGCUUCUUUGCUUUUGUUUGUGAGGUUUUAAUGCCUCAAUACAGGAUUAAUUUUUGUAAAGGAACCAAGAACAUUUGAGAAAAAAAAAAAUUUACAUACACACACACACAUAUAUUCUUUUCUAUUUCUAAUAAUCUCUAAUAAUCUAUGCUAUCUAACCUUUCUAAGACUUAAUUCCUAUCUUCCACUUAUAUUUUUGUUAGAUUUAUCUAGAUCUGCCCAAUAUUAUUUUAUUGUCUCUUUCUCUCCCUAUAACUUAUUUAACUUUUUAAGUAAUUUUAUACCACUUGUUGCAAACUUAGUUUUGACAAUAAUACAUUGUGAUACAUUCAAUAAGUAGUUUCCCAGUUUAUCUUUUUUUUGAGUUAAGAGUAUUUUAGCUAUUUCCUAGUCUAUCUGGAUUGCUACCUCUUUCUCUUUUUUACAUCAGAUGAGACAUAGAUUUUUAUGUAGUGCUUAUUUUAAUGCUUGUAAACAACAUACCAAUGAAUUCUGCUUUCUAAGCCAUUCUGUUAUCCUCUUCACUUAUGGAUAAGUUCAUCCUACUACUGGUUAAUAGUAAUUAUCUUCUUAUGCUUCUCUAUUUAUUUCCUACCCCUUUUUAUUAAAUAAGAAACACACCCAGCAGCAAAGCUCUAGAUCUGGUAAUUUGCUUCUGCUUUCCUGUUCCCCUUGUCCUCUCCCAAAAUCCAAUCACAAUCUUAGCUUUUUUUCCCCUUUCCUUUGCUUUCAAAUCCUUCGAGAUACACCUAGGUAAGUUUGUUUUAUUUGGGAGUAACCCCUCUUUUAAUCCAUCCUCUUGUAUUUUUAUACCCAAUUGCAAGCGUAUUCUUCCUUCCUUUGACCAGUUUGGAUGAAAGCGAAAUUAGCUAUUCCUCCCUACUCUUUCCUUGUUCGUUGAUAAUUUUAUAUUCACACCCAAUUAUGAGAAUUGUUCUUCCCCUAGUGUAUUUUUUCCUCUGCACUCUUUUCUUUUAAGAUCAUAGAAAGAAACAAAACCAAUCUCAGGCCUGCUUUCUCAGGCAAGUACAGAUGGUAUGAAGGAAGUGGUGUGUUAAAUCUUAGACUACUAGCUCAUCUACAUUAAGGCUUCUUAAACUUUUCCCCUUGCAACCUUUUUUCCUCUGAGAAAAUUUUACAUGGAAAUAUAGGUAUGUAACAGUUACACAUAUCAAAUAUUUGUUGAUAAUAAAUCAUAAUUUCACAACCCCCAUAUUCUGUUAUGAGACCCCACACAAUGGGUUAUGAACUACAGUUUAAGAACCUGGGAUAUACACAACAUAAACUGAAUUUUGGUUCAUAUUAAAUGUAACCUGAUAUCACUUUAUGAUUUGCAUAAAUCAAAUUUUGCAUUAGUUAACCUCUCAUUAAUCACAACUUACUUGUAUUUUUGAUGCCUAUCAAAGCAUAAAGUUUACUUAAAAAGAAAACCAAACUUGGGAUAUUUUUUAGGGUUCCUUACAGCAAAGUUUGAUAAAAUAAACACUAUGCUACUCAUUAAAGAUUCAUUUUUUUCUCCCUGUAGUAUUAUACUUAGAUUUGCUAUUUAAGUGAUUCUCAGUCAUAAGAUAUACAGUAUUCUGAUAUAUAGUAUUCCAACCUCCUCAUUUCUUUAGAAUGAUGACCAUUAAAUGGAUUGUGAUUCUGACUGUGACUCUUCGGAACGUGAAUUGUUUCUUUCUGGUUUCUUGAAGUAUUUUUCCUCUGAUUUCGAACCUCUUGAUCUUGACUAUAAUGCAGUCUUUUUUUUUUUUUUUUUUUUGCUGAGGAAAUUGGAGUUAAGUGACUUGGCCAGGGUCACAUAGCCAGGAAGUGUAAGUGUCUGAGGCCAAAUUUGAACUCAGGUCUUCCUGACUUCAGGGCUGGUGCUCUAUCCACUGCGCCACCCAGCUGCCCCUCAGUCUCUUUUUAUGUGUUGUGGUAUACCAUUAGAUUUUAAGAUGCGUUAGGGUAAGGACUCUUUUUCUUAUUUUUAUUCAUAGAGCUUCAUAUAGUACCUGGCACAAAAACAGGUACUUAAUAAAUACUUAAUGAAUUCAAUUGAAAGAAGUAACUAGUGGAGUCUUUCUAUUUUCACUUUGUCCUCUGGUUUUAAGAGAUCUAGGCAUAAAAGUGCAAAGAAUGAUCAUUUCUUAAAAUAUGACUGUCUAUACUUUUGAGAAGGGAUUGUAUGAUUAUUAAUUUCUCUUCAAUUUGUUUUCCAGCUGUUUCUGCUGAGAUAAUUUACAUUUUUUCAAUCUUUUGACUUAUUUUAAUAUUUCUUAUAGUUACUAGCUUUUCUACAAGGUCCAUUAUACUUUUCAAUUACCUUUUUUUGGGGUAAGAUUUUAGAUUUCUUGUUCCUAACUGGUGAUUUGCUUUUAAAUUCUCUCUUUCAUAGUUUCAUUUUUCUUUCUAUUUUCCCCUUCUGGUUAUUUCAUUUGAUUUUUUUAAAAAAAUCAUUUUUGGUUCUUUAAAAAUUUAAAUAAAUAAAAACCUAUUUCAUUUUUCAUGGGAACUUUAAUUGAACUUAUGGCCCAAGUUAUGCUUUUCUUUGAGGCUUUGCUUGUAUAUACAUUGGAGUCAUUCUCUUUUUCUUAAAUUAUGUCUUAAACAUCCUUUUCACCUUAGUAGCUUUUAAUGUUGAGAUUUUUCUUGUUUGCUCAUUACAGCCUAUUUCCUGACUCAUACUUAAUAUUAAGACCAGGCUCUAUCCACUUCUGGAGGGAUUGUCUGAGCUGAAUUUAUAUCCUAUUGAAGCUUUACUGUGGGUAAUGAGUAUGUGUUACUCCAGCAUCUUAGGAACAGCUCCAGCUAGAGAAAUCUGCAAAAUUUCAGUUCCCCAAAGUAAUUAUGAUCCAGGAUAAAGUUUGGUUACUGUCCUCCUAGUCCCCUGGUUGGAGUUACAGUAGACUAUUGCUAGACUCAGGUACCACCAAUAAGCUUCAGACUAGGCUAGUGACCAAAGGUGAGACUAUACUCCUGGGGUCAGUCACAAAACUACUAUUUACUCCUGAACGUGCUCUUUGCUAAGAAUUCAAUCUAGGACCCAUAAUCACACCUCCUUCUAGACUACCAUCCCUAAGCACUGAUCCCUUCCUUACGUCACCCUUGCAUGUGACACAGAACUAGAGGGUAGGCAACAGAGCUACCAAUUGGCACUUGUCCUUGAACAAGACUGGACUCCCUUAUACAGGUCUGAGACCACUUCCAGUGUACAAUCGCUUUUAAAAUACUGUGCUGGAGUAUUCCACACUAUACACUCCCUAUUAAACCUUGUCUUCAAAUAAACUUGUCUGUCUCCCUAUGCUAACCUGGGCAGGAAAAAUGACUAAUUUUGUUCUUGGAUUUCCCAAUUGGAACUUGAUCUGCUGUGUUCCCUAGAUCUUUGUUGGAGCAGUAGUGGUGAGGAACUAAGCUCUCCAGUUCUUUUCCUGAUACUCCAUUAUUUUGGUGCUUUCUUACCUUUCUUUUUCCAUCUCAUAGUCCCAGUGUCUUC